ACCCAUGCCCCACCCCCCCACCCCCACCCGCUGGCUCUCCUCUGCCCACAGGCUCCCCAGUAACUGCAGGGGCCAGCGGUUCAUCGUGGGUCACCAGGGCAGGUGGGGCCGUGCGCUUUGCUGGGGAGGCCGGUUCUCUCCCACCCGCCGGCCUUGCCUGUGGCUCUUCAGUUUCCGCCCAAGCGCACAGGGGAAAGGGAAAUCUGGAAUCUGUGGAGUCAGCCUGGGGACGAAACAGAGAGACCUGGGUUUGAAUUCUGGUCUAGCCAAUCUCCACUUCUCGGACGCUGGACAGCCUCAUGCGCUCCCUGCCUCUCACCUCGGGGAGGCCAGGUACCUUAGUUCUGACAAGGAAUUAAAAGGAUGGCUUCUGAGAAAAUACUUUUCUUUCUGAGAAAAGUGGAAAAAGCACAUGUGGCAGGAAAAUGAGAUCUCCCCACAGCCACGGGAGUCAGCCACCCCGGCAGUGGAUCAGCAGCCCCGGUCACGGCCUGGGGAUGACUGCAGGCCUGGUCAGUGUCCUGAGGAAAAUCUCCUGAGAAACACCGAACCCAAAUCACUCAGCUUGGUUGCUCCUGAAUUCCUGACCCACAGAAGUUAUGAGAUUUAAAAAAUCUGUAUUUUUUUUAAGCUGAUAACUUAUACAAUAUUUGGUAGGCAGCAAUAGGUCUCUAAUACUAAAGCAAGCAUCUUUUAUAAAAACUGCUGUUUGAAAUUUUAAUCCUGCUAUUUCUGGCUUCUGUGAAUGCUUGCUGGCUUAAAUAAUAAGGAAAAUAAGACUACUCCCAUUUCAGAGAGGCCAUUAAACCUUCCCCAGAUGAAGUUAUCGGUGCUGGCUUCAGGCCAAGCCUUUGGUUGAGGUCUCAAAGUCCCAGCACAUAGGGCCCUUUAAGAACUUGCAAAGGGAACUGGAAAAACCCCAUAUUUGGGAGACAAAGAAGGUAAAAUAGUAUAAAUACAGGAAACUUCCUGUGUGAUUUCGCCCAGAAUUUGAGAGACAUUUUCCUC
Molecule: long non-coding RNA, 1008 nt
Organism: Myotis daubentonii (Daubenton's bat)
Lineage: Eukaryota; Metazoa; Chordata; Mammalia; Chiroptera; Vespertilionidae
Exons: 3
Source: RefSeq, a predicted model, not a curated record